AGGUUUUCGUCACAUACGUCGGUUAUCUAUGACGGCAUAACAAACCACGCUGGAAUCCAAAUGGCUUGAAAUAGUAUUCAUAAUUUCUCGUGUGUCUCACUGCUGUUGAGUGCUUCUGCAGAUAUGAUCCAGGCUUAGCAGAUUGCGAUGGAGGUUACUUAUUGGUCUGUGGUCAGCUGGUGCCUUCACUGAGAGCUGAUUGGCGGGGGAUGGUCUCAUCUGCAAAUCUGUUCUUCACUUGACUGUACCUUGGACAUGCUUUCCUGUGUAUGUGUAUCAAGCUCUUUUAAAGAGAUGAAAUGAGGUGACUUCAGAGGCUCUGACCUUCUGGGACUCUGGGAUUCUAUUGCUUAUUAUGAACCACAUUGAAGAAUCUUCCAGCUGUACCCUCAAUGUGACAGGAGAACUGCUACAGACCCAAGCAGCUACAAAGUUGAUCCUAUAAUCCUGAACUGAGCCUAUGUGUCAAUUUCAAGUAUUUAGUGACUUCACUCUUGCUGGUUAGAAAAUUACCUGUCAUUAUUAUUAUUAAUUAUGAAGAUCAUUAAAAGGCUGUUUCUGUUGAAA
Non-coding RNA from Ictidomys tridecemlineatus (thirteen-lined ground squirrel), 567 nucleotides. Lineage: Eukaryota; Metazoa; Chordata; Mammalia; Rodentia; Sciuridae. The record is from RefSeq and is a predicted model, not a curated record.